AUUUUAUUCGGGGAUGGUUUCAAAAGCCAUGCACAGAUCACCAGAAAUGGCUUUACUUCCCUCGAUAGAUAAUUUCUCUCGUUAAAAUGCCAAAAUAAAAAAUAUAUAUCGUUGUGCAAAUAGUUUUGAACCUUUUGUCAUGUCCACCAAUUAAUGAUAAUUGCAUUGUCUAUUUGCACACAACGAAAUCUUAUAAAGAUAUAAUCAAAAUAAGAGAGAGAUAUAAUCAAAAUAAGAAAGAUCAAGUACAAAGAUGAUAUCGAAUAUAUAAAUAUGUAAUAGUAAUCCACAUAGAAGAACGGCCAGCUAUACAACAGUGUUACACUACUACAAUCCGAUGCACAAACAUUAAAAAUGAGCCACAGGGAAACAGUACAGAAGAUAAAACUUCUGUUUCUUAUUUCAUAACUAUUUGUCUAAAUAAACCUAGCUAGCUAGCUAGAUUCAGUUGGUUGGUGGACGCUUAUGAGGUGGCUUCUCUUUCUUUCCUUUGCGUGAGUCCUCAACUACUUCUUCCUCAGCCAGAAGAUGUCCGUGUGGUGGCUUGUGUUUUGGAGGUGGCUUCUCUCCCUUUCCUUUGU
This 581-nucleotide unclassified non-coding RNA is filed under the name Hevea brasiliensis (rubber tree). The record is from RNAcentral. Lineage: Eukaryota; Viridiplantae; Streptophyta; Magnoliopsida; Malpighiales; Euphorbiaceae.